UGCGGACAGAUGCCCGCGCUGUUUCUGAUUGGACCAUGAAUCUUACCUACCCAAUGAUAGGCCCGUUGGCUCAUCGGUCACUGAGCAGGAGGGUGGUGUGGAGUCGCAGGUUUUGGCGUUUUUGAAAUACCUAUGAGUGAUAAAGGACCUUUUUCAGACACUUCCACUUUAGAAUUCUUAUUCGUGGGUUAUAUGAAGAUACAGUACUGGUGUUUGACCAGAGAUCAUGUAGACAAAAUUGUGCACAAUAUACAUUGCCACUGACACAAAAGGGUAGGUAAAAUUUUCUAAUACUUCUUACAGCCCCUCAAGGCCACCCAUGAAAAUUGCUUCUAAUGCACUCUCUAGAACAUGAUGGAG
Non-coding RNA from Pogona vitticeps (central bearded dragon), 360 nucleotides. Lineage: Eukaryota; Metazoa; Chordata; Lepidosauria; Squamata; Agamidae. The record is from RefSeq and is a predicted model, not a curated record.